This 74-nucleotide transfer RNA is filed under the name Pelodiscus sinensis (Chinese soft-shelled turtle). It matches the Rfam family "tRNA". Rfam says of the family: Transfer RNA (tRNA) molecules are approximately 80 nucleotides in length. Their secondary structure includes four short double-helical elements and three loops (D, anti-codon, and T loops). Lineage: Eukaryota; Metazoa; Chordata; Testudines; Trionychidae. The record is from Rfam by way of RNAcentral.
GGCUGGCUAGCUCAGCUGGUUAGAGCGUGGUGCUAAUAACACCAAGGUCAUGGGUUCAAGCCCCAUGCUGGCUA